GAGGGUAUAGCUCAAAGUGGUAUAGUGCAUGCUUAGCAUGCACAAGGUCCUGGGUUCAAUCCCCAGUACCUCCU
This 74-nucleotide transfer RNA is filed under the name Camelus bactrianus (Bactrian camel). It matches the Rfam family "tRNA". From Rfam's summary of the family: Transfer RNA (tRNA) molecules are approximately 80 nucleotides in length. Their secondary structure includes four short double-helical elements and three loops (D, anti-codon, and T loops). Lineage: Eukaryota; Metazoa; Chordata; Mammalia; Artiodactyla; Camelidae. RNAcentral also lists the same sequence under 2 other names. The record is from Rfam by way of RNAcentral.